Molecule: unclassified non-coding RNA, 339 nt
Filed under: soil metagenome
Description: partial contains 5.8S ribosomal RNA, internal transcribed spacer 2, and large subunit ribosomal RNA
Rfam family: 5.8S ribosomal RNA (bases 1-120)
Source: RNAcentral
GAUGAAGAACGUAGCGAAACGCGAUAGGUAAUGUGAAUUGCAGAAUUCCGUGAAUCAUCGAAUCUUUGAACGCACAUUGCACCUCUCGGUAUUCCGGGAGGUAUGCCUGUUCGAGCGUCAUUUGUACCCUCAAGCUCUGCUUGGUGUUGGGUGUUUGUUCCGCCUCUGUGUGUGAACUCGCCUCAAAACAAUUGGCAGCCGGCGUACUUGUUUCGGAGCGCAGCACAUUUUGCGAUCCAGAUCAACGUACAGCGGCAUCCAAGAAGCCUUAUUUAACGCUCUUGACCUCGGAUCAGGUAGGGAUACCCGCUGAACUUAAGCAUAUCAAUAAGCGGAGGA